This 202-nucleotide ribosomal RNA is filed under the name Staphylococcus haemolyticus. RNAcentral's name for it is "partial 16S ribosomal RNA". It matches the Rfam family "Bacterial small subunit ribosomal RNA", at positions 1 to 197 of the family's 1533-position model. Lineage: Bacteria; Bacillati; Bacillota; Bacilli; Caryophanales; Staphylococcaceae. The record is from RNAcentral.
UUUAUGGAGAGUUUGAUCCUGGCUCAGGAUGAACGCUGGCGGCGUGCCUAAUACAUGCAAGUCGAGCGAACUGAUAAGGAGCUUGCUCCUUUGACGUUAGCGGCGGACGGGUGAGUAACACGUGGGUAACCUACCUAUAAGACUGGGAUAACUUCGGGAAACCGGAGCUAAUACCGGAUAAUAUUUCGAACCGCAUGGUUCG